AUACGUAGGGUGCGAGCGUUGUCCGGAAUUACUGGCCGUAAAGAGCUCGUAGGUGGUUUGUCGCGUCGUCUGUGAAAUUCCGGGGCUUAACUCCGGGCGUGCAGGCGAUACGGGCAUAACUUGAGUACUGUAGGGGAGACUGGAAUUCCUGGUGUAGCGGUGAAAUGCGCAGAUAUCAGGAGGAACACCGGUGGCGAAGGCGGGUCUCUGGGCAGUAACUGACGAGGAGGAGCGAAAGCAGGGGUGGCGAACAGGAUUAGAUACCCUGGUAGUCCAUGCCGAAAACGGGGGGCGCUAGGUGGAGGGGGCUGCCACGACUUCGGUGCCGUAGCUAACGCAUUAAGCGCCCCGCCUGGGGAGUACGGCCGCAAGGCUAAAACUCAAAGGAAUUGACGGGG
RNAcentral lists this ribosomal RNA (398 nucleotides) under uncultured bacterium. Its description in RNAcentral is "partial 16S ribosomal RNA". It matches the Rfam family "Bacterial small subunit ribosomal RNA", at positions 523 to 918 of the family's 1533-position model. The record is from RNAcentral.